GAUGAACGCUGGCGGCGUGCCUAAUACAUGCAAGUCGAGCGAACAGAUGAGGAGCUUGCUCCUCUGACGUUAGCGGCGGACGGGUGAGUAACACGUGGAUAACCUACCUAUAAGACUGGGAUAACUUCGGGAAACCGGAGCUAAUACCGGAUAAUAUAUUGAACCGCAUGGUUCAAUAGUGAAAGACGGUUUUGCUGUCACUUAUAGAUGGAUCCGCGCCGCAUUAGCUAGUUGGUAAGGUAACGGCUUACCAAGGCAACGAUGCGUAGCCGACCUGAGAGGGUGAUCGGCCACACUGGAACUGAGACACGGUCCAGACUCCUACGGGAGGCAGCAGUAGGGAAUCUUCCGCAAUGGGAGAAAGCCUGACGGAGCAACGCAGCGUGAGUGAUGAAGGUCUUCGGAUGGUAAAACGCUGUUAUUAGGGAAGAACAAAUGUGUAAGUAACUAUGCACGUCUUGACGGUACCUAAUCAGAAAGCCACGGCUAACUACGU
RNAcentral lists this ribosomal RNA (496 nucleotides) under uncultured bacterium. RNAcentral's name for it is "partial 16S ribosomal RNA". It matches the Rfam family "Bacterial small subunit ribosomal RNA", at positions 28 to 506 of the family's 1533-position model. The record is from RNAcentral.